RNAcentral lists this ribosomal RNA (253 nucleotides) under uncultured bacterium. Its description in RNAcentral is "partial 16S ribosomal RNA". It matches the Rfam family "Bacterial small subunit ribosomal RNA", at positions 524 to 776 of the family's 1533-position model. The record is from RNAcentral.
UACGGGGGGGGUAAGCGUUGUUCGGAAUUACUGGGCGUAAAGGGCUCGUAGGCGGCCAACUAAGUCAUACGUGAAAUCCCCAGGCUCAACCUGGGAACUGCGUCCGAUACUGGUUGGCUUGAAUCCGGGAGAGGGAUGUGGAAUUCCAGGUGUAGCGGUGAAAUGCGUAGAUAUCUGGAGGAACACCGGUGGCGAAGGCGACAUCCUGGACCGGUAUUGACGCUGAGGCGCGAAAGCCAGGGGAGCAAACGGG